This 21-nucleotide unclassified non-coding RNA is filed under the name Mus musculus (house mouse). RNAcentral's name for it is "oocyte_clustered_small_RNA10504". Lineage: Eukaryota; Metazoa; Chordata; Mammalia; Rodentia; Muridae. The record is from RNAcentral.
AUGAACCCGAGGCUUCACCAG